This 397-nucleotide ribosomal RNA is filed under the name Lactococcus sp. oral taxon F05. RNAcentral describes it as "bacterial SSU rRNA". It matches the Rfam family "Bacterial small subunit ribosomal RNA", at positions 28 to 380 of the family's 1533-position model. The record is from RNAcentral. Lineage: Bacteria; Bacillati; Bacillota; Bacilli; Lactobacillales; Streptococcaceae.
GACGAACGCUGGCGGGCGUGCUUAAUACAUGCAAAGUUGAGCGCUGAAGGUUGGGUACCUUGUACCAACCGGGAUGAGCAGCGAACCGGGUGAGUAACGCGUGGGGAAUCUGCCUUUUGAGCGGGGGACAACAUUUUGGAAACGAAUGCUAAUACCGCCAUAAAAACUUUAAACACAAGUUUUAAGUUUGAAAGAUGCAAUUGCAUCACUCAAAGAUGAUUCCCGCGUUGUAUUAGCUAGUUGGUGAGGUAAAGGCUCACCAAGGCGAUUGAUACCAUUAGCCCGACCCUUGAGAGGGGUGAUCCGGCCCACCAUUUGGGGAUUGAGGACACGGGCCCCCAAAACUUCCUCUUACCGGGAGGGCAGCCAGUUAAGGGGGAAAUUCUUUUCGGGGCAA